This 463-nucleotide ribosomal RNA is filed under the name uncultured Alphaproteobacteria bacterium. RNAcentral's name for it is "bacterial SSU rRNA". It matches the Rfam family "Bacterial small subunit ribosomal RNA", at positions 9 to 517 of the family's 1533-position model. The record is from RNAcentral. Lineage: Bacteria; Pseudomonadati; Pseudomonadota; Alphaproteobacteria.
GAGUUUGAUCAUGGCUCAGAACGAACGCUGGCGGCAGGCUUAACACAUGCAAGUCGAACGCGUGUAGCAAUACACGAGUGGCGCACGGGUGAGUAACACGUGGAUAUCUGCCUUUUGGUUCGGAAUAACCCUGGGAAACUAGGGCUAAUACCGGAUGGUUCCUACGGGAUAAAGAUUUAUCGCCAAAAGAUGAGUCCGCGUACGAUUAGCUAGUUGGUGAGGUAAUGGCUCACCAAGGCGACGAUCGUUAGCUGGUCUGAGAGGACGAUCAGCCACACUGGGACUGAGACACGGCCCAGACUCCUACGGGAGGCAGCAGUGGGGAAUAUUGGACAAUGGGGGCAACCCUGAUCCAGCCAUGCCGCGUGAGUGAUGAAGGCCUUCGGUUGUAAGCUCUUUUGGUCGGGGACGAUGAUGACGGUACCGUAAGAAUAAGCACCGGCUAACUUCGUGCCAGCCGCCG